AUAUAACCGCAUCUUGGGCUCCUUUCGUCGCACCAUCCUCUAUUAUCUGCACUUCUCAUUCUCUCGCGAGUAUAACUCUGGUAAACCUCACCAAAUGCAAGCCAGACCCGUAGACGCCUGCCACCACUUCUUUUUUCAGAAUUCAGACAAAUUCAUAACAAGCAUGAGGUAUAAAAAGACUUGCCGAGCAUACCUUAAAUGGCGUCUUGUUCAGCAUCAUCCAUUAAAGAAAGUUAAUAGCAUGUUGUGUUCUUGAGAUUUAACAUAUCCAUAAAAGUUCGGAUUUAUACCAAGGUUUGGGAACGAGAAGGUAAUACUUGCUUACCAUACACCGCUGUAAGUAUGAUGACCAUGUUGUUCAAGAUCAAAGAUGAUGAUGACAUAAUUGAAUUGUCCCCCCAAUCUAUGUUCUUCGGUGACAUGACAUUUUAAUUAACCAUAGAGAGCAUCUUACACAUAAAAAGUAUGGUCCGGAAAAAGUUGGGCUCCAACAUGUGAAUGAGUCUGGAACAAAGUUCGAUUAUGUAAGCAUAGAGAGAUACACGGUCGAUGAACUUAGAGAGAUAAAAGACGAUGAUCAGAUUAUAGAGUUUUCACCCGAAGCCUUGUUCGGGAUGCUGACUAUGGAGGAAUUGAAAAAUCAUUUGCAUGAGGUUGGUUUGGAAAAUAUGGAUGAGGGCCAAGUAACUGAUUAGCAUGCUAAAAAGUUCGAAUUCACCAAAUUGAAGGAUAGGUUCAAGGUUGAUGAGCUACGAGUCCAUGAAAUCCCAAAAGCCAUUAUCGAGGCCCUAAAAGCCAAUUUCGGCCCCAAUGGGAAGCAGUUUCCCAUGUUUGCCGCAUGCCACAUGGUGACGGAGCUUUUCAACAACAGUCAUCUUUCAGCCAAAUGCAUUCCUGAGGACCCCUAUCACGAUGAGGAUAUCGGUGACGAUAACAACCCUGGGCACGCGGUAGUGAUAAUUGGUCUAUAUACCCGCGUGGACAACCCCCAAAGGCCUGAAGACUAUAGCAUCUUGAUCAGAAAUUCUGAUGGGAAGACCUGGGAAUCGAAAGGGACACGCGGAUUGAUAUGAGUCUUAUUUGUGGUGUUUGUGAGCCCGUGUGUUUCGAAGAUGCGAAGAUCAGGUGAUUUCGUAUGGAUUGGAAAUCGGUAUCACAAUAUCAUGUUAGUUUUGGUAUUCUGUGAUGUUGCACUUAAGUUCUUGUUUCUUGUUAACAGUCUUAACCUUUUGUUAUUGGUAUG
Molecule: long non-coding RNA, 1243 nt
Organism: Helianthus annuus (common sunflower)
Lineage: Eukaryota; Viridiplantae; Streptophyta; Magnoliopsida; Asterales; Asteraceae
Exons: 3
Source: RefSeq, a predicted model, not a curated record